CUUGAUAAACCCAUAAGAGGUCCAGCCUGCCCAGUGACCCUGUUCAACGGCCGCGGUAUCCUAACCGUGCGAAGGUAGCGUAAUCACUUGUUCUUUAAAUGAGGACUAGUAUGAAUGGCACCACGAAGGUUAUACUGUCUCCUUCCCCUAAUCAGUGAAACUAAUCUUCCCGUGAAGAAGCGGGAAUAAACCUAUAAGACGAGAAGACCCUAUGGAGCUUUAAACACAGUAAUAACUGCCCCUCCCCCCUUACGUAUCUCCGGAAAAACUACUUUACCUGGGCACCCUAAUUACAAGUUUUAGGUUGGGGUGACCGCGGAGCAAAAAAUAACCUCCACAGUGAAUGGGACUCUCCCCUAAACUCAGGGCCACAGCCCUAAGAAUCAAUAAAUUGACACCCAUUGACCCAAUAUUUUUGAUCAAUGAAC
Molecule: ribosomal RNA, 428 nt
Filed under: Leptodactylus validus group sp. ABGD cluster 129
Lineage: Eukaryota; Metazoa; Chordata; Amphibia; Anura; Leptodactylidae
Description: partial large subunit ribosomal RNA
Rfam family: Bacterial large subunit ribosomal RNA
Source: RNAcentral